This 63-nucleotide transfer RNA is filed under the name Phyllomimus sinicus. Its description in RNAcentral is "tRNA-Thr". It matches the Rfam family "tRNA". Rfam says of the family: Transfer RNA (tRNA) molecules are approximately 80 nucleotides in length. Their secondary structure includes four short double-helical elements and three loops (D, anti-codon, and T loops). Further hydrogen bonds mediate the characteristic L-shaped molecular structure. tRNAs have two regions of fundamental functional importance: the anti-codon, which is responsible for specific mRNA codon recognition, and the 3' end, to which the tRNAs corresponding amino acid is attached (by aminoacyl-tRNA synthetases). tRNAs cope with the degeneracy of the genetic code in two manners: having more than one tRNA (with a specific anti-codon) for a particular amino acid; and 'wobble' base-pairing, i.e. permitting non-standard base-pairing at the 3rd anti-codon position. Lineage: Eukaryota; Metazoa; Arthropoda; Insecta; Orthoptera; Tettigoniidae. The record is from RNAcentral.
GCUCUAAUAGUUUAAUAAAAACAUUGGUCUUGUAAGCCAAAAUUAAGACCUACUUUUAGAACA